This 537-nucleotide long non-coding RNA is filed under the name Vigna radiata. RNAcentral describes it as "long non-coding RNA (VRAD_LNC015246)". Lineage: Eukaryota; Viridiplantae; Streptophyta; Magnoliopsida; Fabales; Fabaceae. The record is from RNAcentral.
GGAAAUUCCUUGAUUAAGCAAUACCACCUAGGGAUAGGGGGGUAGGACGAUCAAUUGUUUUUGCUUCUGUUUAUCAUGCAUUAUUAAUUACUAGGGGAGGUUAGGGAUAGCAAGCCAGUAAUUAGUAAUAGGCUCUUUUCGCUGAGAGAUCGGGUUAAGGGUAGACUAAGAAAGUUUGCAUGACAAUAUGAUAAUAAAGCGAAUUUAAUAAGAAAAGUAGAUAUAUGAGAGUGGUUGGGUGAAAUCUGAAUCCUAGCAACAAAUCCAUCUCAUAUUAUCAACAUCCUCCAUCCACUUUUGUGUUUAACCUCAAUUGAUUAAAUUGCAUUCAUGUUUAUUUUUUCGUACUUUAAAUUCAAAAAAACCCUAAAAUAUUUUGUUCUUAUAGUCUUGAUUGGUUAAGCAAAAGCACAACAGUUUAGUGUCUUGAGUCUUUUGGGAAAACGAUACUUGGACUUACCAUUUAUUAUUACUUAAUACGAUCUGGUACACUUUCCAGUUUGUUAACAGUUACACGAGAGGCCAUAGGUGCAAGCC